This 1312-nucleotide ribosomal RNA is filed under the name metagenome. Its description in RNAcentral is "bacterial SSU rRNA". It matches the Rfam family "Bacterial small subunit ribosomal RNA", at positions 202 to 1498 of the family's 1533-position model. The record is from RNAcentral.
GCAGGGGACCACAAGACCUUGCGCUGAUUGAGCGGCCGAUAUCAGAUUAGCUAGUUGGUGAGGUAAAGGCUCACCAAGGCGACGAUCUGUAGCGGGUCUGAGAGGAUGAUCCGCCACACUGGAACUGAGACACGGUCCAGACUCCUACGGGAGGCAGCAGUGGGGAAUUUUGGACAAUGGGGGCAACCCUGAUCCAGCCAUGCCGCGUGAGUGAAGAAGGCCUUCGGGUUGUAAAGCUCUUUCGGCCGGGAAGAAGUCGUAUGGGUUAAUACCCUGUGCGGAUGACGGUACCGGCAUAAGAAGCACCGGCUAACUACGUGCCAGCAGCCGCGGUAAUACGUAGGGUGCGAGCGUUAAUCGGAAUUACUGGGCGUAAAGCGUGCGCAGGCGGUUUUGUAAGACAGGCGUGAAAUCCCCGGGCUCAACCUGGGAACUGCGCUUGUGACUGCAAGGCUAGAGUAUGGCAGAGGGGGGUGGAAUUCCACGUGUAGCAGUGAAAUGCGUAGAGAUGUGGAGGAACACCAAUGGCGAAGGCAGCCCCCUGGGCCAAUACUGACGCUCAUGCACGAAAGCGUGGGUAGCAAACAGGAUUAGAUACCCUGGUAGUCCACGCCCUAAACGAUGUCAACUAGGUGUUGGGUGGGUAAAACCAUUUAGUACCGGAGCUAACGCGUGAAGUUGACCGCCUGGGGAGUACGGCCGCAAGGUUAAAACUCAAAGGAAUUGACGGGGACCCGCACAAGCGGUGGAUGAUGUGGAUUAAUUCGAUGCAACGCGAAAAACCUUACCUACCCUUGACAUGUCCAGGAGCCUGAAGAGAUUUGGGUGUGCCCGAAAGGGAACUAGAACACAGGUGCUGCAUGGCUGUCGUCAGCUCGUGUCGUGAGAUGUUGGGUUAAGUCCCGCAACGAGCGCAACCCUUGUCGUUAAUUGCCAUCAUUUAGUUGGGCACUUUAACGAGACUGCCGGUGACAAACCGGAGGAAGGUGGGGAUGACGUCAAGUCCUCAUGGCCCUUAUGGGUAGGGCUUCACACGUCAUACAAUGGUUGGUACAAAGGGUUGCCAACCCGCGAGGGGGAGCCAAUCCCAGAAAGCCGAUCGUAGUCCGGAUUGCAGGCUGCGACUCGCCUGCAUGAAGUCGGAAUCGCUAGUAAUCGUGGAUCAGCAUGUCACGGUGAAUACGUUCCCGGGUCUUGUACACACCGCCCGUCACACCAUGGGAGCGGGUUCCGCCAGAAGUAGGUAGCCUAACCGCAAGGGGGGCGCUUACCACGGCGGGGUUCGUGACUGGGGUGAAGUCGUAACAAGGUA